UAAGUAAGCGGAGGAAAAGAAACUAAAUAGGAUUCUCUUAGUAAUGGCGAAUGAACUGGGAUGAGCUCACCAUGGGAAUCGGGGUCUUCGACCUUGAAUUGUAGUCUUGAGACGCACCGCCAACAAAGGCGCAGGUGUAAGCCUCUUGGAAGAGAGCAUCGCAGAGGGUGAGAGUCCCGUCUGUCACCUGCAGUCCCUUGUGUACGGCAUGCGUUCUGAGAGUCACGUUCCUCGGGAUUGGAGCGCAAAUUGGGUGGUAAGUUUCACCUUAAGCUAAAUAUUGGUCCGAGACCGAUAGCAAACAAGUACCAUGAGGGAAAGGUGAAAAGGACUUUGAAAAAGAGAGUUAAAAAGUGCUUGAAAUUGCUGAAAGGGAAGCGAAUGGAACCAGUUCUGCUGGGCGAGAUUGUCGCACGCCAAGGCCUCGUGCCGGCCGCAUGCGGUGCUUCUUGCCUUGUGUGUCAGCUGCGGUCCGAGGUUGGGGAAAACUCUGGGGACAUGGAUGCCAACCUCCGGGGGGGUGAAUGUGCCUGGCAAGACCCGUCCUCGGACUGUGAGCAGUGCUUCGGCAUGUCUGCGGUGCUGACGAAAAUGCUUCUAUUCGACCCG
Molecule: ribosomal RNA, 609 nt
Filed under: Akashiwo sanguinea
Lineage: Eukaryota; Dinophyceae; Gymnodiniales; Gymnodiniaceae
Description: partial large subunit ribosomal RNA
Rfam family: Eukaryotic large subunit ribosomal RNA
Source: RNAcentral